AGUCGAACGAGCGAGAGAGAGCUUGCUUUCUCGAGCGAGUGGCGAACGGGUGAGUAACGCGUGAGGAACCUGCCUCAAAGAGGGGGACAACAGUUGGAAACGACUGCUAAUACCGCAUAAGCCCACGGUGCCGCAUGGCACAGGGGGAAAAGGAGCAAUCCGCUUUGAGAUGGCCUCGCGUCCGAUUAGCUAGUUGGUGAGGUAACGGCCCACCAAGGCGACGAUCGGUAGCCGGACUGAGAGGUUGAACGGCCACAUUGGGACUGAGACACGGCCCAGACUCCUACGGGAGGCAGCAGUGGGGAAUAUUGCACAAUGGGGGAAACCCUGAUGCAGCGACGCCGCGUGGAGGAAGAAGGUCUUCGGAUUGUAAACUCCUGUUGUUGGGGAAGAUAAUGACGGUACCCAACAAGGAAGUGACGGCUAACUACGUGCCAGCAGCCGCGGUAAAACGUAGGUCACAAGCGUUGUCCGGAAUUACUGGGUGUAAAGGGAGCGCAGGCGGGAAGACAAGUUGGAAGUGAAAUCUAUGGGCUCAACCCAUAAACUGCUUUCAAAACUGUUUUUCUUGAGUAGUGCAGAGGUAGGCGGAAUUCCCGGUGUAGCGGUGGAAUGCGUAGAUAUCGGGAGGAACACCAGUGGCGAAGGCGGCCUACUGGGCACCAACUGACGCUGAGGCUCGAAAGUGUGGGUAGCAAACAGGAUUAGAUACCCUGGUAGUCCACACCGUAAACGAUGAUUACUAGGUGUUGGAGGAUUGACCCCUUCAGUGCCGCAGUUAACACAAUAAGUAAUCCACCUGGGGAGUACGACCGCAAGGUUGAAACUCAAAGGAAUUGACGGGGGCCCGCACAAGCAGUGG
Molecule: ribosomal RNA, 862 nt
Filed under: uncultured bacterium
Lineage: Bacteria
Description: bacterial SSU rRNA
Rfam family: Bacterial small subunit ribosomal RNA
Source: RNAcentral